Molecule: ribosomal RNA, 477 nt
Filed under: Coniochaeta luteoviridis
Lineage: Eukaryota; Fungi; Ascomycota; Sordariomycetes; Coniochaetales; Coniochaetaceae
Description: eukaryotic LSU rRNA
Rfam family: Eukaryotic large subunit ribosomal RNA
Source: RNAcentral
UCAAAUUUGAAAUCUGGCUUCGGCCCGAGUUGUAAUUUGUAGAGGAUGCUUUUGGUGAGGUGCCUUCUGAGUUCCCUGGAACGGGACGCCAGAGAGGGUGAGAGCCCCGUAUAGUCGGCCACCGAUCCUUUGUAAAGCUCCUUCGACGAGUCGAGUAGUUUGGGAAUGCUGCUCAAAAUGGGAGGUAUAUCUCUUCUAAAGCUAAAUAUUGGCCAGAGACCGAUAGCGCACAAGUAGAGUGAUCGAAAGAUGAAAAGCACUUUGAAAAGAGGGUUAAAUAGCACGUGAAAUUGUUGAAAGGGAAGCGCUUGUGACCAGACUUGUGCCGGGCUGAUCAUCCAGUGUUCUCACUGGUGCACUCGACCCGGCUCAGGCCAGCGUCGGUUCUCGCGGGGGGAUAAAAGCUUCGGGAACGUGGCACCUCCGGGUGUGUUAUAGCCCGUUGCUUAAUACCUUCGCGGGGACCGAGGUUCGCGC